RNAcentral lists this non-coding RNA (148 nucleotides) under Nomascus leucogenys (northern white-cheeked gibbon). The record is from Rfam by way of RNAcentral. Lineage: Eukaryota; Metazoa; Chordata; Mammalia; Primates; Hylobatidae.
GCUGGGCAUGGUGGUGCGCGCCUGUAAUCCUCGAUACUCAGGAGGCUGAGGCAGGAGAAUUGCUUGAGCCCGGGAGGCAGAGGUUGCAGUGAGCCAAGAUCAUGCCACUGCAUUCCAGCCUGGGCGACAAAGCAAGACUCUGUUUCAA